GCUCCGCCUUUUCGGUCCUGGGAACCCGCGCCCCCUGCCGGUGCCCUCCCCGCCCGGCCCUAGCUCUCUCGCCUUCUCGCCCGCCCGGCGCUGGCCCUGCUGGAUCCUGCGCGCCGGGGACUGGGGGCUGGCAGUGCAGACCGAACCCGGGGCCGAGGGGCUUCUCCACAGAGCCGCCUGGGGCUCGGUGGGGGGCGCUCAGCUCGACCCCAGCUAAGGGAGCACUAGGAAGUGCGGGCGUCCCCUUCCCUGCACCCUUGCGGGGCGGGAACCGUCGACCUAGAAGAAAAAAAAAGCUGAGGCAAACUUGAUAUAAGUAGAGAGGUUAUUUGGGCCAAGUUUGAAGAUUGCAACCCGGGAGCAUAGCUUCAAGUUGCCCUGAACAUAGGAUUUGCAACAGUGACAAAGGUGAGGCCAGAGAAGUGACAAGACAGAUGCCAGUCCAGCAGGUGGGCAUGUCCAGAAAGUGCAGCCUCAGGACACGGUCUGGGAACAAAGACUGCUGGAGAGUUGGAAGCUGGCAAGAGGCUCUCAGCUGUGAAGUACCUGGGGUGGGGGAGAAGUGGUCGGAGAAAGCAGAGAACACAAUUGAAGGCACUGGUUAUUCUAGCAAGGCUUUGACUGGAAUGGCAUAUUUUCAGAUAUGACCAGACUGCUCUGAGGAAUUCAGGUUGGCUUUAUAGAGUCAAUAAAAAGCUACCUGGAAAGAGUGGCCAUGUACCUUAUCUAUACAGUUCCCUUACAAGGUUCCUGAUCUUGAGACAUUUGGCUUCACUUGAACCUGUGUUUGAAGCUUUAGUGAACAUUGUCUUUGGGAGUAAGAAGUACUAGAAAAUUUAUGUUCAUCUGCAUCUUGUCACUGGGACAUGAGCAUAGGUGGUCUACCUUCAGUUUGGUCUGUGAACAGGAGGAUUACUUGAGCUCAGGAGUUCUAGUCCAGCCUGGGCAACAGAGCAAGACCCUGUCUCAAAAAGAAAGAAAGAAAUGAGGAUAUGAGUUUGCUGCUCUUUAAAUCGAUGACUUUGCAGCUCUUCAUCUGAAGAGGUGGCGUCUGUUUCUCCUGUUUGAGUGUGGCACAUCCAGGAGAGUGGCUUUGAGCAGUGGUGUGGCAGACGUGACUGUAGGCCAGCCCUGAGCUGAGGCUGCCAGGGGACUGCACACUUCUUCUCUCAGCUCUGCCAGCUGCUGCACUGUGUCUGGGCCAGCCCGCUGGAGCACAGAGUUCAGUGCAUUGGGACAGCUACAGCCCAUUGCAUCGGGACAGCCCACAGCAACAAGACCCACCUGUCGCCACUGCAGGUGCGUGAGGGUGCCCGGCUGAGAGCAGACAAACCGCCUAGCAGGUGGCUUUUCAAGCGGAAUCACAGACUAGCUCCAUCGCUGUGGUGAACGUUCUCCCCAGUGCCAGGAUUCCACUUGGCCCCUGACUGCUUGAGCAGCCGAUGUGACAGCCAUCUCUCUGCUGCCGUGCAUGUCGGCUGGGCUGGAGCCAGUGCAUCAGGAAGUAGACGCAGAAGUGGAUCAGGAGCAAAACAUUCCUGAGAGCUGGCAGAAGCUGGCGUCUGGAGCCGCUGGGAUGCGGGUCUCAUGGAACAAGGAAAUCAAAAAAACACCCGCCCGUGCACAAAUGGAUUUCCUGAACCCUUCUGUGCGCCAGUCCUUGGGGACGCAAAUGUGAAUGAGGCGGCGCUCUGUUGAAUUUCCGUGCCCAAACUCACCAACGUGCACAGAUACUGAUGUGGGAACACCCGCUAUAAGGUGGCCUGGAGCAGUGAAGACCCUGCUCUCUUGUGAACUCCCGCAACCAUGGCCAGCCCCCUGGGGCUCCCAGACCUUGGCAAUCAGCCCUUGUGGUUUUUAAAAAAUUUAUUUUUAUUUUUAUUUUUAGAGGCAGGGUCUCAUUAUGUCACCCAGUGAUAUGGUCUGGCUGUGUCCCCACCCAAAUCUCAUCUUUUAUUUUUUUUUUUUUUGAGACGGAGUUUCGCUCUUGUUGCCCAGGCUGGAGUGCAGUGGUGCAAUCUCGGCUCACCGCAACCUCCACUUCCAGGGUUCAAGCGAUUCCCCUGCUUCAGCCUCCCGAGUAGCUGGGAUUAAGGGCGCAGACCACCAUGUCUGGAUAAUUUUUUUUGUAUUUUUAAUAGAGAUGGGGUUUCAUCAUGUUGGCCAGGCUGGUCUUGAACUCCUGACCUCAGGUGAUCCACCCACUUCGGCCUCCCAAAGUGCUGGGAUUAUAGGUGUGAGCCACCGUGCCCAGCCCCAAAUCUCAUCUUGAAUUGUACUCCCAUAAUUCCCACAUGUUGUGGGAGGGACCCAGUGGGAGAUAAUUGAAUCAUAGGGGUGGUUUCCCCUGUACUGUUCUUGUGGUAGUGAAUAAGUCUCAUGAGAUCUGAUGGUUUUAGAAGAGCUUUCCGCAUUCUCUCUUGCAGCUGCCGUGUGAGAUGUGCCUUCUGUCAUGAUUGUGAGGCCUCCCCAGUGAGCCCAUUAAACCUCUUUUUCUUCCCAGUCUUGAGUAUGUCUUUAUCUGAAGCAUGAAAACGGACUAAUAUACCCAGGUUGGAGUGCAGUGGCGCCAUCUUGACUUACUGCAGCCUUGACCUCCAGCUUUCAAACGAUCCUCCUCCCUUGGCCUCCCAAAGUGUUGGGGUCACAGGUGUGAACCACCAUGUCCAGCCAGCCCUUGGGUUUUGAGAUGCUCAAGUUACAGGUGAGAAGUGCUUUGUUUGUUCCGGAAUCUGUGUCCUGAGAGGGUUAAAGACAAGGGCUGGCCAGCCCCUAGAACCUGGCCGUGUCACCAGGGGAGCUGUGGAAGCAGGAGGGAAGCAGGAGGGAGGCAGCAGUUCUGUGCCGUGGGGCACCUUGGGCUUUUCUUUUUUCUUUCUAAUAGAGAAGCAACAUUUUGAAUAAAUCCACAAAAGCGUAGAAGAUCAUCUCAUCGGUUUCUGUGUGUGAAGUUUCAUGCUUAUCUAACUGCAUUUAGGAAAAUUCACGUGUACAUUUUUCCCAAGGGGAGCGAGAGGAUGUGAGCGUUCUACUUGUUCAUUUCAUAUCUGCUUUUACAAAUUCAUAGGGAGGGUGAGGAAGGAGCUGUGGUUCUCAUUGCGACUGAUGUUUGAUUAUUUGAUUCAGGAAUUUCACUUCUGGGAACUUGACUUAGGGAAAUGCUCUCAGAGACGCGUGCGAUGUUGUUUGUAACAAGCACAUGUGGAGAUGUCCCGGGCCCCUCAUGAGGCGGCUGCUUGUGUCCGUUUGUACCUCUUGCCAGCUGUGCAGUGUCGCUCAGCUCCCAGAAGGAGGGAGGCAGGUCCAGGCAUUGAUGGUUAGUUUUGUUUUUUUUUUUGAGAAGGAGUCUCCCUCUGUCACCCAGGCUGGAGAGCAGUGGCACGAUCUCAGCUCAACUGCAACCUCCACCUCUCAGGUUCAAGCGAUUCUCCUGCCUCAGCCUCUUGAGUAGCUGGGAUUACAGGCAUGCACCACCAUGCCUGGCUAAUUUUUGUAUUUUUAGUAGAGACAGGGUUUCGCUGUGUUGGCCAGGCUGGUCUCGAACUCCUGACCUCAAGUGAUCCACCCGCCUUGGCCUCCCAAAGUGCUGGGAUUACAGGCAUGAGCCACCGCGCCCAGCUGAUGAUUAGUUUUAUCCAUGUUCUUCCUGCUGCAGCUCACCCAGAGGCCCUGGUGGGGCAAGAACUUGGCUGGCCAGGGUUGGAGCAAAAACACCAGCCUUGGCUGUGGGUGAGGCAGGAGUGUGGCCGUGCAGGUGUGGCUUCCUCGCCGCAUCUCCAGGGCGCUUUCCCUGUCCUGUGAGCUCCUUGAGGGCCGAACCUGGGCCUGUCAGUUCUGGGCUACCUCCACUUCCCAGCAGGCCCUCAAGAAGGGUUCCCUAGAUGUGGUCUAUUCCCACGGGAGACUAUCAUUCAGCCGUCGAAAGGAAGGGAAUUCUGAUGCAGGCUAGACAGGAAUGAGGACAUUAGGCUGAGUCAAAGAGGCCAGUCACAGACGCACAAGUACGGUGACCUCCCCUUUGAUGAGGCCCUGGAGGAGUCAGAUUCACAGAGACAGAAAGCAGAAUGGUGGCACCGGGGCUGGGGGAUGGGGAACGGGGGCGGAGUGUUGAACGGGGACAGAGUUUGCUUUGCACGAUGAAGAGUUCUGUGGCUGGAUGUCAGGGAUGGUUGCACAAGACUGGAAUGUACUUGAUGCCACUGAACUGUGCACUUAAAAAUGGUCAUGAUGGUAAAUUUUACGUUAUACAUGUUUCACCAUAGUUCGAAAAAUACUUUAAAAAAAGCACCAUGUCCCUUGGAUUUAGUGAUACCGACCCCUCUUUGUCCCUCUGCUUCCCAGUGGUUUCUUCUUGCCCCUGGGAUUUGUAGGGAUGGGUUGCCCCUCCACACCUGUGGGUGUUUCUCGUAAGGUGGGACGAGAGAUUUGGAAAAGAAAAAGACACAGAGACAAAGUAUAGAGAAAGAAAUAAGGGGACCCGGGGAACCAGCGUUCAGCAUAUGGAGGAUCCCGCCAGCCUCUGAGUUCCCUUAGUAUUUAUUCAUCAUUUGUGGGUGUUUCUCGAAGAGGGGGAUGUGUCAGGGUCACAAGACAAUUGUGGGGAGAGGGUCAGCAGACAAACACGUGAACAAAGGUCUUUGCAUCAUAGACAAGGUAAAGGAUUAAGUGCUGUGCUUUUAGAUAUGCAUACACAUAAACAUCUCAAUGCUUUACAAAGCAGUAUUGCUGCCCGCAGGUCCCACCUCCAGCCCUAAGGCGGUUUUUCCCUAUCUCAGUAGAUGGAGCAUACAAUCGGGUUUUAUACCGAGACAUUCCAUUGCCCAGGGACGGGCAGGAGACAGAUGCCUUCCUCUUGUCUCAACUGCAAGAGGCGUUCCUUCCUCUUUUACUAAUCCUCCUCAGCACAGACCCUUUAUGGGUGUCGGGCUGGGGGACGGUCAGGUCUUUCCCUUCCCACGAGGCCAUAUCUCAGACUAUCACAUGGGGAGAAACCUUGGACAAUACCUGGCUUUCCUAGGCAGAGGUCCCUGCGGCCUUCCGCAGUUUUUGUGUCCCUGGGUACUUGAGAUUAGGGAGUGGUGAUGACUCUUAAGGAGCAUGCUGCCUUCAAGCAUCUGUUUAACAAAGCACAUCUGGCACCGCCCUUAAUCCAUUCAACUCUGAGUUGACACAGCACAUGUUUCAGAGAGCACGGGGUUGGGGGUAAGGUCACAGAAUCUCAAGGCAGAAGAAUUUUUCUUAGUACAUAACAAAAUGGAGUCUCCUAUGUCUACUUCUUUCUACACAGACACAGUAACAAUCUGAUCUUUCUUGCUUUUCCCCACAGGAUUUAACAACAAAUCCUAAUGCACGUGGGGGCCAGCGGCAGUGACUGUAGUCCCCUUGGCAGGCGAAGGCCUGUGAGUAGCCAGUGCUAUGUCUGGCAUUCUAGGCAGCUCCUGGCUCCCGGGCGGAUCCUCCUGUUGCCUGCUGGGCCAGCCUCAGGUCGGCCCUUCCAGCUCUGUAAAACUCAGAAGGCCUUUAGGGCAGGCACUGUGCCACUGACCCCCUCUCUGUGUCCCAGGGCCCGGUACAAUGAGAUGAUCAUGGAAUUAAACAGAACAGAACCAUGAGGUGUCCACCAGGCCAUGCCAGGAUGCACUGGCUUCACCUGUGAUUUUGGCACCAGUUUAAACAGUGUCACUUCAUUCUGUGCUUCUCCUGAUUAGUCUGCCUUCUGGCCGAUAUAUCCCUGGGAGGCAGGUGCAGACCCCUCUUGACUAUGUACUGUGUGCAGUUUUGGGGACAGAGCUCUUUAUGUGGCCAAGGUCUGGCUGGGCAAGGUGUCUCAUACCUGUAAUCCCAGCACUUUGGGAGGCUGAGGCCAGAGGACUGCUUGAGGCCAGGAGUUUGAGAACAGCCUGGGCAACAUAGCAAGACCCCAUCUCUACAAAAAAUAAAUAAAAAUUAGCCAAGUGCGCCUGUGGUCUAGCUACUCCAGAGGCUGAAAUGGGAGGAUCACUUGGGCCCAGGAGGUUAAGGCUGCAGUGAACUGUGAUAGCACCACUGCACUCCAGCCUGGGCAACAGAGUGAGACCCUGUCGCAAAAAAAAAAAAAAAAAAAAAAAAAAAAGGUCCUUUCCCAGGACGUCAGGACGAAUGUAUGGAGCAGCAGCAGGGGUCUCAACGAGUGCCGCGCCGUUUCCAGCCGUGCGCACGUCCCUGUGGCUGCCGCAAGGAACAGAACGACUUGGUCAUCUUGCAGUGGAAGUCAGAAGCCUGAAGUGGGUCCCGCUGGGCGAUAAUCAAAGUGCCAGCUGGCCUGCGUUGCUUCUGAAGCCUCUAGGAGAGAAUCCACCUCCUUGCCUCUUCCAGCUUUUAGAGGCCGCCCUGUUCUGUCAUAACUCAAGGCCCUGCAUAUGGCACAGGUGUGACUGUUCGCGCCCGCAGCUCCUUCACCAACCCUCCUGCCACCCUCCUUCCCUGCUUUCCUGUAAGGACCCCUGUGGUGACGUCAGGGCCACCUGGGUAUCCAGAAGCAUCUCCCCAGCUCGUGAUCCCUCACUUAAUCCCAUCUCCAGCUGCCUUUUGCAGAGUAAUGUGCACAUUCAUGGGUGCUGGGGACGGGGACAUGGACAUCUUGGGGUCGGGGUCAUUAUUCUGCCCACCACAGCCAACAAUUACAAUCAAUGGGGAUGAGAACUGGAAAUGGUCCUGUAUGAUUCUCUUGCUGCCAGGCUUGAGAGCCAGCCAGGAGCACGCUGGGGGCCGAGCGUGGGAACGUGCCACAUGUGACGGUGCUCCCACGGCUCAGCGCUGCUUCCAGACACAGUCCUACUAGUUGGAGCCUAUUUUGGCCACAGCUCUCACCUGCGUUUUGGUGGUGGGAGGGGUGUUUCUGGGUUCCAGGUGAAGUUGGUUACACCUCCUGGGUGUUCAGGCAUCAAUGUUCACCUUCAUCAAACGUUUAAAAAAUUGUGGUUAGGCUGGGUGCAGAGGUCCAUGCCUGUAAUCCCAGCACUUCGAGAGGCUAAGGGGGGGUGGAUCGCUUGAGGUCAGGAGUUUGAGACCAGCCUGGGCAACAUGGCAAAACUACAUCUCUACCAAAAAUACAAAAAUUAGCUGGGUGUGGUGGCGCGUGCCUGUAAUCCCAGCACUUUGGGAAGCCAAGGCAGGUGGAUCACCUGAGGUCAGGAGUUUGAGAACAGCCUAGGCAACAUGGCAAAACCCUGUCUCUACUAAAAAUACAAAAAUUAGCUGGGCGUGUUGGCACACGCCUGUAGUCCCAGCUACUUGGGAGGCUGAGGCAGGAGAAUUGCUUGAACCUGGGAGGCAGAGGUUGCAGUAAACCGAGACAGUGCCACUGCACUCCAGCCUGGGUGACAGAGUGAAACUCCGUCUCAAAAUAAAUAAAUAAAUAAAUUAGCUGGGCAUGGUGGUGCACGUCUGUAAUCCUAGCUACUCAGGAGGCUGAGGUGGAAGAAUUGCUGGAAUCUGGGAGGCGGAGGUUGCAGUGAGCUGCGAUCACACCACUGCACUCCAGCUUGGGCAACAGAGUGAAACUCUGUCUCAAAAAAAAAAAGUGGUUAAAUAUAUGUAACAUAAAGGUUGCCAUUUUAACCAUUUCCAAGUGUACAGUUCUGUGGCAUUAAGUACAUUCACACCGUUUGCGACCAUCACCGCCACGUCACGGUCAGUUUAUGUUAUCUUGAUUAGGUGCCAGUCCCCAGGGACUCAAACAUGAGGCAAAGUGUUGCUGUGAAGGUGUUUUGUGCGUGCGAUUAACAUCUACAAUCCGUCCACCUUGAGUAAAGGAGGUGAUCCUGAAUGACAUGGGUGGGCCUUGUUCAAACAGUCAAAGGCCUGAAGAGCAAAAAUGAGGUUUCCUGAGAAGAAGAAAUUCUGCCUCAAAACUGCAACUCCAAUUCCUUCCUGAGUUUUCAGCCUGCUGGCUCAUCUAUCAAUGUUGGAUUUGCCAGCCACCACUAUUGAUAUCGAUAUCUAUAUGUAUUUCUUAAUAUCUAUAUUUAUAUAUCUUAUUGGCUCUGUUCCUCCCUGCCUGUCACACAGUCUGUCUGCUUGCCAGUCUCUCCUAUGGGAAUGUAGCCCCCUGAAGUCAGGAACUGUCUUUUUUAUAGCUGUAUCCAGUCAGCUAGUGUGGCACACAGUAGGUGCUUAAUAAAAACAUAGCUACUUUCUAA
Homo sapiens (human) is the source of this 8180-nucleotide long non-coding RNA. RefSeq lists it as uncharacterized. The record is from RefSeq and is a predicted model, not a curated record. The transcript has 6 exons. Lineage: Eukaryota; Metazoa; Chordata; Mammalia; Primates; Hominidae.